UACAGAGGUCUCAAGCGUUGUUCGGAUUCAUUGGGCGUAAAGGGUGCGUAGGCGGCGCGGUAAGUCGGGUGUGAAAUCUCGGAGCUUAACUCCGAAACUGCAUUCGAUACUGCCGUGCUUGAGGACUGGAGAGGAGACUGGAAUUUACGGUGUAGCGGUGAAAUGCGUAGAGAUCGGAAAGAACACCAACGGCGAAAGCACUCUGCUGGUCCGACACUGACACUGAGAGACGAAAGCUAGGGGAGCGAAUGGG
This 253-nucleotide ribosomal RNA is filed under the name uncultured bacterium. Its description in RNAcentral is "partial 16S ribosomal RNA". It matches the Rfam family "Bacterial small subunit ribosomal RNA", at positions 524 to 776 of the family's 1533-position model. The record is from RNAcentral.